Dermacentor andersoni is the source of this 1186-nucleotide long non-coding RNA. RefSeq lists it as uncharacterized. NCBI's taxonomy places the organism in Eukaryota, Metazoa, Arthropoda, Arachnida, Ixodida, Ixodidae. The record is from RefSeq and is a predicted model, not a curated record.
AAGAGGCGAUUGGAGGAUUGGUGGAAGAAAAGUAGGGAAACGACAAAAGACGGAGACGUACAAAAGCACAGUUCGCAAUAGGGUAUCAGAAAAUUUGGACGUGGUAGUUCAUAGUGGGGUUUUUUUGUUUUCUCAUUGGUUAACCUAUGUAGGAUAUUAAGCAGCAUAGUAGCAAGAGCUUGGUGGCGCAAGCCACCGCCCCGUUCCAAAGGGGACGCUCAUAACAUCCAUCCAUCCAUUUGGUCGACACACCACGUUGGAUGUAGUGAAUGAUCUUUGCAGUAAGGUGGUAUUUGAGUUAUAUUUUAGAAGUGCCUAGACAAAAUGUGCUCCUUGUCGUGUGCAGUUAACCAUCCCAAACCCUUCGGAUUCGUGUAACGCCAUUAGUUCGCCGUGUGUUUCGAGCGAUCCACCAGUGUCGACAGUGAGUGCCCUAGUACAGCGCCCGUCCGAGCUGCCUUUGUUCUGCCGAGCUGCCUGCCCGCGCUCUCGUGAAAACGUCUGGUACUGGGGCUUCGAAUCGUAGUGUAUGGAACACUGUUGAAGGUUGUGCUUUUGUGGAGCUGGAGUUCAUCGGAAGCUCUACAGUGCUUGCGCCAGAAAAACCUCGGUGCCUCUGUACCUGUUUGACGAAGGAGCGUUUGCCAAAUCUUGAAAGGUAGACAUCGGUGACGGUGUAUAUGUUGAAAAGGGCCUGCUGAAGAGGCUGUGCCUGGAUGCUAACAACUCAGGCUUUCACUUCGCGGAGGGCCUCCUUAAAACUCCUUUUUCAAUAGAAGACGUUGAAGGGAGGUCCUUCUUUGGGCGGCUGUCAAAUGCCUUCCACAGAAGGAUCCGUUGGAUUCCAAGAAGGUCAACACCAUACUAGACUACACAACGCAACAUUUCAGCCUACUUCCAGGGCAGCUGGAGAACUUGUCCUCAUUACUAGCCCGGGGAUAUUAAAUGGAUGUGUUCAAGCACAAAUUUAAACCUGUCGUCUUCUGUUGCAUGCCACACCUAGCCACUUGGCGACCACUAUAUGCCACAGACAGAUAGUUGACAGGAUGUUACUAGCAAGUCGUUAGGAUAUAUAAAGGUGGUUAAUAAAUAGUCGCUGCACAGUUUUUAGGAAGCAAAUAAAAAUUUUAUUCAGAGAUAAUCAAACCUUACUUUUGCAAUAUAUAAUUGCAAAAGUAAUUACCUC